UGGUAAGAUGCGAGGAUAAUUUCCAUCACCUGGCAAUGACAUCACUUUUCUCAUCUGCCAAUCCUGACAAACAGGUAAGAAGUUCUUAGACUAUGAAAAUCAGGCAUCUGUCCUGGAGCUACUGGGACUGACAUCACAGAAACAUACAGCAAGAAGGGACGUUUUUACUGCCUGGAAGCCUUAUGGCUGGUACCAUCUGGAGGAAUCUUUUAGAUUUCUACAUAGUUUUUGUAGACUUCAGUUGUUUAGGAGUGGUGACUACCUUGGCCCCAAGAAACAGCAGAGUCUCUCUGAAAGGAGGAGAGUUUUGGCUUGUAGUCAUUCUCUUCUCAUACUUUCAGUGAACCAGUUAUAUCCAUAGCAUUUCAACAGCAAAGUCGCAUUUUUUGUGCUAUUUUUUAAGUGAACCAUAUAGCUACAAGUAAUUUCACCCUGCUGUUAUCCACAGAGUCCAACUACUACAAGCUCAAGAACUUGAAGUCCUUGAAAUCUUCCUGCGAACACCUCUACCAAACAGUUUUCACCAAGUCAGAUGGAUCGCAUUCUUUGAUGCCUAGAACAUUUCUCAAAAACUCUUGAUUUGUCAAAUUUGGUGUUUCAAAAGUUACUUGAUAGAUAAAUGCACACCUUUGACUACUGCAAUACUCAAAAUUCGGAUGGAAAUUUCAUUUGCUGUUCUACCAGCAUCAAGACAUGCAACAGCAGCAUCAGUGUAUUAAACCUUAUUAAAAAGAGAUCCCCGUAGAAAGGGCCCUUUGGGACUGCUCUCCCCCUAUCAACAUCUUUUGUUCCUGCUACAGUAAUGCUCUGAUCAGUCAAAAACAGCUUCAAGUGGCUUCCUCCAACAGAAUGAGGAAUUGGUAACAGUAGCAGAUUCAGAAAGAAGAGGUAAGGGGGAAAGAAAAGUCAGUUAAAGGAAAAAAAAAAAAACUACUUUCUCAGCAAUGUUUUAAAAUUAAGAACAAGCAAGCUUCCUCCUGAAGUCAUGUCUCAUCAACUAAUUAGUCAGAAAAGGCAAAGUCACUGGUGUACACGCAGGAAAGCCCAAACCAGCACGACUCUCCUCCAGGCUCAGAGCAGGUGAACAACCACUGGUGGUUUAUCAAAUUAUAAUGCAGAAACAGCCUUAAAUCUGCUCUAGUGAUUUUCAAAAGCAGAUUAAAAAAAAAGAAAACCCCAACGGCCGC
Long non-coding RNA from Cygnus olor (mute swan), 1187 nucleotides. RefSeq lists it as uncharacterized. The transcript has 3 exons. Lineage: Eukaryota; Metazoa; Chordata; Aves; Anseriformes; Anatidae. The record is from RefSeq and is a predicted model, not a curated record.